GAAAUGCGAUAAGUAAUGUGAAUUGCAGAAUUCAGUGAAUCAUCGAAUCUUUGAACGCACCUUGCGCUCCUUGGUAUUCCGAGGAGCAUGCCUGUUUGAGUGUCAUGAAAUCUUCAACCUACAAAGUUUUGUAGGCUUGGACUUGGAGGCUUGUCGGCCUGGCGGUCGGCUCCUCUUAAAUGCAUUAGCUUGAUUCCUUGCGGAUCGGCUCUCGGUGUGAUAAUCGUCUACGCCGCGACCGUGAAGCGUCUGGCGAGCUUCUAACCGUCUCGUGUGAGACAGCUCUUUGACCUCUGACCUCAAAUCAGGUAGGACUACCCGCUGAACUUAA
Molecule: unclassified non-coding RNA, 331 nt
Filed under: uncultured Perenniporia
Lineage: Eukaryota; Fungi; Basidiomycota; Agaricomycetes; Polyporales; Polyporaceae
Description: sequence contains ITS1
Rfam family: 5.8S ribosomal RNA (bases 1-105)
Source: RNAcentral